RNAcentral lists this ribosomal RNA (468 nucleotides) under uncultured bacterium. RNAcentral's name for it is "partial 16S ribosomal RNA". It matches the Rfam family "Bacterial small subunit ribosomal RNA", at positions 28 to 507 of the family's 1533-position model. The record is from RNAcentral.
GACGAACGCUGGCGGCGUGCUUAACACAUGCAAGUCGAACGGAAAGGCCCUGCUUUUGUGGGGUGCUCGAGUGGCGGACGGGUGAGUAACACGUGAGUAACCUGCCCUUGACUUUGGGAUAACUUCAGGAAACUGGGGCUAAUACCGGAUAGGAGCUCCUGCUGCAUGGUGGGGGUUGGAAAGUUUCGGCGGUUGGGGAUGGACUCGCGGCUUAUCAGCUUGUUGGUGGGGUAGUGGCUUACCAAGGCUUUGACGGGUAGCCGGCCUGAGGGGGUGACCGGCCACAUGGGGACUGAGAUACGGCCCGGACUCCUACGGGGGGCAGCAGUGGGGAAUAUUGCACAAUGGGCGGAAGCCGGAUGCAGCAACGCCGCGUGCGGGAUGACGGCCUUCGGGUGGUAAACCGCUUUCGCCUGUGACGAAGCGUGAGUGACGGUAAUGGGUAAAGAAGCACCGGCUAACUACGUG